Molecule: ribosomal RNA, 414 nt
Filed under: Triticum aestivum (bread wheat)
Lineage: Eukaryota; Viridiplantae; Streptophyta; Magnoliopsida; Poales; Poaceae
Description: partial small subunit ribosomal RNA
Source: RNAcentral
AUGGGGUGGGGCCCCGUCACUUAUGCACGCUGGCCCGGGCGGGGUCAACGCCGUGCGGCUGACCGGUGGGGUCGAGGCGACGCGGGGCCCGGCUGGCCCGGGCGGGGUCAACGCCGUGCGGCUGACCGGUGGGGUCGAGGCACGCGGGGCCCGGCUGACCUGGUUAGCGCCUUCAACCUCGCGCUCGCCCGCGAUGCAGAGGAUAGCCGCGCGCGCCGGCGACGGGCCGGGCAGCUCCGGGCACCUCUGGCCGCGGAAAGACCGCCGGCGGGAUCGGGGAAGGGCGCCGCAUCCAUCUGGCUGGGUCACGGGUGCCGGGGAGGGGUGGAGCACGAGAUAGCCGCGGUGGCAGAGAGCAACGGCGGCGGCAAAGGUUGGGGGCACGCAGCCUGGGGCACUCCAGCGAGAGGGUGA